AGGCGGCGUGUAGCCGCGUUUCUUCCGUACGUCAUUUUCGCCCCCAAGAAAAUUUCUCCCCCCUUUUCUUCAGCCAUCUCCGGGCGCAGCCGGUGUCUCCCAUUUCCUACGGGAGGCAUCAUCUCAUACGGGAGGCCGCAGUGGGGAAUAUUGCACAAUGGGGGAAACCCUGAUGCAGCAACGCCGCGUGAGUGAUGACGGCCUUCGGGUUGUAAAACUCUGUCUUUGGGGACGAUAAUGACGGACCCAAGGAGGAGCACAGU
RNAcentral lists this ribosomal RNA (263 nucleotides) under uncultured Clostridium sp. RNAcentral's name for it is "partial 16S ribosomal RNA". It matches the Rfam family "Bacterial small subunit ribosomal RNA", at positions 295 to 476 of the family's 1533-position model. Lineage: Bacteria; Bacillati; Bacillota; Clostridia; Eubacteriales; Clostridiaceae. The record is from RNAcentral.